This is a long non-coding RNA of Alligator mississippiensis (American alligator), 1450 nucleotides long. RefSeq lists it as uncharacterized. NCBI's taxonomy places the organism in Eukaryota, Metazoa, Chordata, Crocodylia, Alligatoridae. The transcript has 3 exons. The record is from RefSeq and is a predicted model, not a curated record.
UUGCACGUGUCAAAGGGCGCAAUGACUUAGAAACAUAGACUGCUUUGUUAGAGAGAUGGCAGGGAUCUCGGCGCACUCGAACAAGCGACAGAAGGAAAACAGGCGGCCCGGCGCGAACGUGUGCGCCUCUAUGCAACUCCUGUUAAUAUUUCAACUUUUUUCUGAAUCGGCUGUGACUUUAGUGACAUUGCUGAAAGGAAGGUUACCAGCUGGAGAGAAAAACAUUGCUCAGCUCGCUCAGAAGAGAGAACAGUCACCAGCGGGUCUCCCCUUGGUCUCGGAUGAGCAGCGUUUUGCACUCGCAAUCACAGACGUUGUCACCCAGCUUCAGAUCGUCUCUGAGUGGAAGGAAGGCACAGCCAGACUCGGGGAUAAUUAUUACCCUGACAAAGAUGUUAUUCUUGCAUCCAGAAGGAGAGUUACAGCAGCACAGCUGUCUCCAGUAUCGAGUGAAAGCUUUUUUUCCAUGUUACAGUUCAAAUGGCAAUUAAUUUUCUUGAUAAGUUUAAACUAACCUUUAUUUCCGAGAGGAAAAGAACUUGUUGUACAAAACGUCUCCUAACCUGACAUUUACUAAGUAUAAUCGGGUACCUUUUCUGGAAGCAAUUAAAGGUACUUCUUACGAGCCUCCCGCAGCAUUGCUUGCAUUUGGCUUAAAGCGCCGCUGGGCAUAUCGCCCCCUAUGGCGCGGGCUGACUGAGCGUUUCGGUUACGACGACUCGUUUUCAGACGCUCGUCCUUUUCUCGAAGCUUGACCUUUGUGGCUGAACCCGGCAAUGCUUCCUCUACAUCGGGGGAAAUUUCCUUCUGAAAAUUUUUAUCUUAUAAUUGGCCCAUUUUCAAGCACAAAAGACAUGGGCAAAUGCAAGUUUCCUGCCGGAUACAUUUUGUUGUAAUCCUUUUUUUGAAUAACCUCUGGCCCCGUGAGGAAGGGUGCCGAAGAAGUAAGAUCCUGAUGCCUGCCUUUACAAUCUCGACCUUCUUUAAGUUUGGGGGUUGCUGAGAGGGGAGUUAUUUCAAGGUAAAUUAUCAUUUCUAGAGCCCUUUGAAGAGGAAUACAUGCUGUAGAGAUGCUCAGUACUAUUUAUGAUACUAAAGGGUCUAUUUAUCUUAAUGGAAACUUUUUUGGGCCUUUUACAAUAAUGCAUUCUGCCUUUUUAAUCAGCAAAGCCAUUGUAAUUGUAGACAUAUGCUGCUUGCAAAGAAUGCUAAAAUAAAUCAUUCUAAACCAGAGCAGCUAAUCCAGCAAAGAUCCAAGGGGAUAGUUUGUAGGAACAAGUCUUAUUUGGGUCUGCUUAUGAUUUUCUUACCAAGUAUUUUGUCCAUGAACUAGGGAGUAUGUGUGACUCAUGAAAAAAAAUAAAAGCAGAUAUCUAUGAGGGUUUUGUACAGGCAACCAAAUAUUAAUAAAGAUGAUAUAAGGAAGGUACCUCUGGUUAUAAUGCAUGCC